Gallus gallus (chicken) is the source of this 5619-nucleotide RNA transcript. RefSeq lists it as uncharacterized. The record is from RefSeq and is marked validated. NCBI's taxonomy places the organism in Eukaryota, Metazoa, Chordata, Aves, Galliformes, Phasianidae. The transcript is spliced from 5 exons.
AGGAGAGGAGACUGUUGUCAAGGGCGCGAGACACAGACACUGCUCAAAGGAGAGCCAUAAACCAAAGGCAAAGGUCCCCGGACAAGGGCCAGGGGCAGAGGGAGAGGAGUGCUUACAGCCGUCCCCUUCCAAUGGAAGUGAAGCAGAAUUUGCUCUCAUGCUUUUUCCCAGCCUGGAUUUCUGGUGAUUCUUUCCAAUUAAUUUCACCUCUUUUCCCUACCAAGCUCCAGAAAAUGUGAUUAAACAGAAGGAAAAGCAGCAAGAACAGCAAACCGACGUAUCUAUGGAGUUUCUCUGGCUCUCUGCUGCCAACUGAGGGGCUCUCCCCACCUUCAUGGACGUCCCAGGGAUGUUUCAGAAGCCGAAAAUGCCUCUGGGUGGAAUCAGAAUUCAACUCCAGACAGCCUGAAAAUCCUGCAGCUUAAGGGCAGGUCGUGAACCGGCUCCCAUUGCAAGGGGAUGGUCUUAGCAGCCUCGUCCGCCCCGGAUUGGUGAGCCCCGCCGGAAGCCGCCUGCACACGCAUUUUCUAACAGAUAAGUCAAUCGGCAGAGACUUGCCCCCCUCUCCCCCCCCACCUUAUCCCAAAAUACCGUUUUCGCAAAGCCGGAGCCCACCAGUCACCCGGCAGCUCCCAGCACUCCCCUCUCCGCCACCCACCCUCGGCUCCUUAGCUCUAAAGGAGGGGGAUGAGGGGAUGUUUCCCCCCUCGCACCUCCUUUGGGGGUGCAAAAGGGUCGGCAGCAGCCGGCACCGGGGGUCCCGCACCCAGCCACCCCUCCGGGCCCGCAGCUUCCCCGGUGCCGCAUAACCUCUGUCCUCAGUCGGCUCUGGGAUGACGUGGCUUCGCACCCACCGCAAUUGGGGAUUUCGAGGUGUCCGUUCUGCUGGAGGCUCCUUAUGGACCGGGGGGAAAUAAAAAGAGAAGAUAGGCCUUUUCUUUUUUGUCGCGGCACGAAAUACCGUCUUUAGGCAAGGGUCUAAAGAUGCUAAAACGGCACCAGAAAUCGAAGUCUAGGAAAGGAGUGAGAAAAAUGAAAUAACGCGAAAUCGGCCGGAGCUGGGGAAGGUUCGCUCUAACAAGUGGUGGGAGGAUGCUCUGCCAACGAGUGGGGCUGCCUCUUCUUUAUAUAUUUCCUUGGCUCUUAUUAUUAUUAUUAUUGCUAUUUUUUCUUCGGAGUGGGAGAGUUUGCUUAAAAAGUGAUCUUAAUUAAAAAGAGAAGGAGCGGAAUGGAGCCCGCUGUGUGGACGGAAGCUUGCUAGGCUUGGAAUUAAAAGGUCAUUUCGAGAGGAUUGCCAAGUCUACGUGCUGGGGGGACUCAGCCUUUUAUGCCGCCAUGUGUUGUCUCCGUCCGCUGCCAUAGGAAAGCAGUUGUGCCGUAAUGAGAAAGAGAAGAUUGACCUUACCUGGAGAAGCAGCUGUGUGGGGAUGGUGAAAAUCCCCUCCUCGUGGUAACUGCCCCGAUUGCGACGUGAUGCGCAGUUCUGCGCUAAGAGGCAGCGAGAAACUGCUGUUCGUCCAACACAUUUCCCACGAGUUGCUCUCCUGCCAAGGUCCCGUCUGCCCCAUAUCGGCCCGACUCGGGGUGUGUGUGUGUAGUGGGGGGGGGGGGGGCAAAAGCGGUGCGGAAAGAGCCCGUCUGAAAGAAUCUCCCCCUUUUCUUUUAUUACUGCACAUUCUUUUAUCGCUACACGUUUUACAGAAACUCUCCCUCCAGAACUUAAUUCUCGUACCUGUGCCCUUUUCCCACCCUACUGCCUUGCCUCGGUGUGGUGGAGGCAGAUCCCUCCCAGACUUCAGACGAUUUUUGGGGUGGGGGUGGAGGGGUUCCCCACUAUCUGGCGGUGACCCCACAGCAGAUCGUCGCGGGGGACUCAGCAGCAGUAGGGUAUAAAACCCCCAAACCGGCGGCAGUGGGAGCGAAGCGAUCGCCCAGCUAUUGCGUGGGAGCUCGAUAUGAUUUCAUGGAGGGAGGCGAGGAGGGGGGAGGAUUAGUCUGGUAGCUAAAAUGUGGGCUCCUGAACAACAAUCCAACUUUAUUUUAACUUUCUCUCCUCCGGCUUCCCCUUUCCAAAGCGCAUACGCUUUUACUUUACAGGGGACCGAAAUGCUUUAUUAACUGCUGAGAUUACAAACCUCAUUUGGAAUUGUGUUUUUUAGCCGGAGUAUACUUUCGGCUCUUGGAAAAUUCCCCACAUGUGUAACUUGUUUUUGCUUCUCUUCAGACAAGGAAUUCCGCCUCCCCCCCACCUCACCCCCCCCCCCCUUCUUCUCACCACUUACGGAUUUUUAACAGACGGCCGCAUUCAAACUGAGGGCUAGCACAGGAAAUGGCAAAGGUAGAACCCUCUUCUUUCAGGCUACAGAAACUUAUUUCACAUUUUUUAUUAAAAAAAAAAGAAAGAAAGAAAGAAAAAAAAAGGAGUUUUACUCCUCAAGAGGGAUUUUUGUUCCGCUCUCGUGAGUUCGGGGGGGUUUGGGACUGAAGUUUUCUCUCUUAGAUCCGCGUAAAUGCGUUGUUUGGGAAUUAUGAGCGCUUUAAGCUGGGGUUUUAUUACUGUUUCCCCGUUUUAAAAUAUUUCUAUUAUUAUUAAUAAUUAUUAUUAUUAUUUCGGCAUACUUUUCAUAUCCGAAAUUAACGCUCAGCCCUUUGAAGGCUGAGUGAUUUCUGAAUCUGGUCUCCAGACACCCCAUAGCCGCGAGGUUCGCUCUCAGCUGUUAUCCCCUCUUGCAUAUCCUUAUCGCCUUCAAAACCCAACGUGCAAAAGAAGAGUGAACGUAUCCAAAGUAACGCACACUGCACACCACCUCGAAACCGUGAUAGGACCCCCCCCGUCCCAUCCCAGCACAGCAGAAAGCUCCGCACCCCCGGAUCCCCCCCACCUCCUUCAUCUCAGUGCUAAAGCAUCUGGAAAAGGAAGGUGCCAAUUCUAAUAAACGAUAACAACUGCCCUUAACAAUAGUAAAAGUGCUUAAAUAUGUUGCCGGCCAAAAAUAAAUAAAAAUAAAUAAAUAGGAUCGUCCGCUCUUUUAUUUUUCUGAUGCCAAAACUUCCACAUCAGCAAAAGAUGGCAGUGGAGCAGACCUGAAAGCUGCAUCUUGUGAAGGCGUUUUGUGUUUGGUCGCUGGCGGUGCAGCAAUACCGACCCGAGGAGCUGUUUGUUAAGGAUGAAUUUUUGCAGCUGUGUGUUUCAAAGGGGAGCGCUGUGUGGAAUUGGUUCCCUCUCCCUACAAACAAGAAAGAUUAUUUAUAAACAACAUCUGAGCUAGGAAGCCUCUGGGUUUCCGUUGCAAGCUGACAACACUCCCAGUUUUUUUCCUCACAGGCAAAGAAUACACUUGGCACUGAUUCUGAGAGCAGCAAAAAGUUUCCACUUCGGACUUUUUUUAGGGGGGUAACUGUUUCUAGUUCCACUUUACCGACCAGCAAUAAACCCAUACCUCAAGUGAAGGCAGCCGGUGUGCAAAGCGAGCACAGCUCGCACACCCUGGCUGCUCUAACUCAAAAACUCAUCCCGAAAUUGACUCCCCGAGGUCCCUUUCUCCCCGGCUUUUCCUCCUCUGAGUUUUUUGUUUUUUGUUUUUUGUUUUUUUUUUCUUUUUUUCUCAAAGAGAAGAGCCUUUCAUACCAUUUCUUUCGGGGUCUAUUUGAGGCUUUCAUGUAUGAAGUCACAGGAAACAGACAGCACCACGCGAGCGGGGCUCCCAGAUCUGGGAUGGAGCGGCUGCUCGCCUGGAGUCCCUCUCAGCAAAGGUUACAAAGAGAUGAGCUAUGGGAAUAUGCAUCAAAAAUAAACUACUGAACAAACGGAAACCUCCAGAGGAGCGAAAGCAAAUGGAUUUGGCAGAUCAUCUUGUGAGGUUUCCAUCCACCAGGGAUCUGAGAACUCCUGCUCUUUGCCUCACAGCCACACUCCUAAGAGUCUUCUUGGUCUGAAUUUAUAUACUACAGAAGAUUAUAUACUCACAUGCUGACACAGUUCAUCAUUAUUUAUAGGAGGCGCACCAGGAUUUUUUUUUUCCCAAGAAUAUAUUUAUUACAGGUAAGACACAGCCAAUCUAUCUAGCAAACAGAGAACAGGUGUUUUGCUUCAAUUAACGUUCAAUAAUUUUAUCUAUACUUAUUCAACACCCCGAUGCCAACACGGCUGUUUAUCCAUCACUUGUAUAAACACAUUUCCACGAGCCAGGAGAGUUUAAUCUCCAGAACUCGCUUAAAUCAGCCCUUCCCUUUUCCAAGCUCUCAUAACAUUUUCAGAGUCCCUCCGAAUCUGUUGUGAAAUAGGCUGAUGUAAUAAAAAGAGUAAAGUCUGGAAGGCAAUAAAGCGGAGGACGAUGGCAAUCCGAGCAAGCAGCUCGCAUUGCAUGGCUGAUGACACGGGAUCCCUUAAGUUCAAAAACUCCGUAACGAGUUAAAGGGAAGAGCAAAUAAGAGUAGUUGGGGAAAGCAGGAAUUCCUCCCGUCGCUCGCCCUGGUCUGGGAGAUCAGCGAUCCUGCCCCACGCUGCUCACUUGUAGGGAUUUCUCUGCCUUCCCCAGUUUAAAUGCAAAGGGAUGAAGUGGGGUUACUUUGGAUGCACCCCACAGAAAGGAGAGGAAGGUUUGUCGGGCGGUGAGGACUCACCUGGUCACAUUUACUCGCGACGGUCUUUGCAAGAGCUUAACUCAGAGCUCACCUUGGCUGGAGCCCGAGACUGCCUCUGCUUUUCCAGACCAGGGAGCGUUUUGCUCUGGCUGGGGGUGGGGUGGGGGGGCUCUUAUUACCCUGAUUGAUGUAAAAAUUAAAAAUAAAUCCGAUCUCCGGCACUGGGCUCCGGCUCUCUCUGCCCAUCAUCCCGACCCUCUCGAUUAGUUCUUUUUUUAAAUGAAAAUGGACAGCUUCUUCCCAGCGCCUCUUGCAGAGGGUCUCUGCUUCUCGAUGCGGGGAAUUGUCCCUUCAUCACGCUGCGGGGCAUCGAAAAACACCGCUGAUGGGAAUAAGGGAGAACCUAACAAUUUGGGUGUCGGGUUUUUAGCGCCUUAAUGAUCACUCCGUAUCAGUAUAACACCUCUGAUAGUAAAUUCAUACAUAGGUUUUGUACAGACGAGCACAUAGGAGUCAUAUACACACACAUACGGUAUCACAGAGAUGCGAAAUACGCUUUUCCUUGAUUUCAGGUGGCUAUUAGCACCCUCCGAUGUUAUUAUUAGCCCGUUAAUACAGGCUAUAUAAUACUUACAUCCCUAUAUACCUCAGGAAGGAUUCGCGAUGAUUUAUCAUUCCUAGAAAUCUCUUUGCCCUUCACAUUAAAUAUCCUUCUGUGUUGGGGUGAGAGGAAGAAGGGCGGAGGGGCAAUAGAUUAAAGGAGGCGAAUUGAUCCAGACUGUUACAGCUGAAGUCCAGAAAACACUUUUGCCCUAAUCACACCGCGCACCUUUUCCUUAACCAACAUUUACGACGCCAUCAGAUCAUCUCGCAAUAAACGCAUUUGUCAUAAUAAGUCGGGAAAACUGACCCCGUUACCCCGCAUCGCCGGGCGGGACCCGCACCGAACCGGAGCCGCGCGUCAAUCAUCGCGUCCAGGGCUGGAAAAAAAAAAAAAGAGAGAGAAAUAAAAAUUAUAAUUCUAAUUAAAAUGAA